UACGUAGGGGGCGAGCGUUGUCCGGAUUUAUUGGGCGUAAAGCGCGCGUAGGCGGUUUGUUAAGUCCGAUGUGAAAACUCCCGGCUCAACUGGGAGAUUGCAUUGGAAACUGAUGAGCUAGAGUCCAGCAGAGGGAAGUGGAAUUCCAAGUGUAGCGGUGAAAUGCGCAGAUAUUUGGAAGAACACCAGUGGCGAAGGCGGCUUCCUGGACUGCGACUGACGCUGAGGUGCGAAAGCUAGGGGAG
This 245-nucleotide ribosomal RNA is filed under the name uncultured bacterium. RNAcentral describes it as "partial 16S ribosomal RNA". It matches the Rfam family "Bacterial small subunit ribosomal RNA", at positions 524 to 768 of the family's 1533-position model. The record is from RNAcentral.